UAGGGAAGCUUUCGGGUGGGGACAAGGUU
RNAcentral lists this non-coding RNA (29 nucleotides) under Rattus norvegicus (Norway rat). The record is from RNAcentral. Lineage: Eukaryota; Metazoa; Chordata; Mammalia; Rodentia; Muridae.